Olea europaea var. sylvestris is the source of this 982-nucleotide long non-coding RNA. RefSeq lists it as uncharacterized. The transcript is spliced from 4 exons. The record is from RefSeq and is a predicted model, not a curated record. Lineage: Eukaryota; Viridiplantae; Streptophyta; Magnoliopsida; Lamiales; Oleaceae.
AGCCAUUUAAUACACCCCCAAAUCACGCCCACAGUAAAUCGCUCUUCUUCUUUACCAAUUGUACCUAUGAAAAGCAAAAUUUCUCAAAUCAAAACUACAGAAUUCUUUAGUAACCUGCCAUUGCAUCCUCGAAUCUAUCUCAACCUCUAGUCCCCCUCAUUUUCAAUCCCAAAAAUCAUCUAUUCCAACAGCAAUACCGUCAUUGUGGUCUCAAUAUACCUCCCUAUAUGAAGCCUAAUGGACUACGUUAAAAUCACAAAUCCAAGUCCGAAAUAAAGCUUCUCUGCAACAUAGAAUCCAUUAGCUGAUACUGAAAAUGGAGGAUGACAUCAACAAUUUCAUCCAAAGACAACAGGUGGAAAAAGGAAUAUGGAUACAGUAGUUCUGGAUUUGAGUUCGCGGAAGAAAAAUGGUCCAUCACUGUCAAGCAAAGGUUUGAGGAUCUUCGAUGCUCGAUUUGGGGAAUUUGGGCCUCUUAAGGACAUUUGUCUCCUGCACAAUAUUACAUUGUAUAAAGCACGAGUCAUGGGAUCUUACGCUAACUAGAUAACAUGUAUUGUGUGAUACCUCGCUUGACAUAGUUGUUGUGUGCGUAAGAUGACAACGAAGGGGGCUUAAAAGGCAAAGGAUACUAUCAAAGCAAGAGUCCAAUUAAGAAACAAGAUGUACAAGAUGCAAGGAGUACAACCAUAAUAGAAAGAUGUGUAAGCACUCACUACCACUGAAUCAAAUACGAAAGAGGAAAAGAAGUUUGUAAAGUAUCAAACAUGUUGAUAAGACGUUACAGAUGCUGGACUAGAGAUGGUUGGAUUUCUAUUUUAAUUUCUAAGGAGAAAAAUUUCAUACCACCUAGUGUAUUCCAUAAUGAAUACUUAUUGUUAAUGGUUUGUUUUGUUUUGUUUUUUGUUUUUUGUUUUUGUUUGAAAUGCAUGUUUACAAAGAUGGGGACAAGAUCAAUAUGAUUUUUGGUAAAUUUCAUGUA